UACGUAGGGCGCGAGCGUUGUCCGGAAUUAUUGGGCGUAAAGAGCUCGUAGGCGGCCGGUUGCGUCUGCUGUGAAAUCCCGGGGCUUAACCCCGGGCGUGCAGUGGAUAUGGGCCGGCUGGAGGCAGGCAGGGGAGAAUGGAAUUCCCGGUGUAGCGGUGAAAUGCGCAGAUAUCGGGAGGAACACCGGUGGCGAAGGCGGUUCUCUGGGCCUGUACUGACGCUGAGGAGCGAAAGCGUGGGGAGCGAACAGG
RNAcentral lists this ribosomal RNA (253 nucleotides) under uncultured bacterium. Its description in RNAcentral is "partial 16S ribosomal RNA". It matches the Rfam family "Bacterial small subunit ribosomal RNA", at positions 524 to 776 of the family's 1533-position model. The record is from RNAcentral.